AUAUAAAUCACUGUCAUCCUUCGGACGGAGAUGACUAUAAUCUUAUAAAAUUAAAGCAGAACAGGGAAAUGCAUAUACUUAAAAAAAGGCACAGAAGAUUUUAUUGUUAGUACAAAACCUAUACUGUUGAUAAUCCCUCUUUACUGAGCUAUAUUUUUUUAAAGCUCAGAACAAAAUAAAAUCUAUGCACAACAGAAAGAAGUAAGUACGAAGGAGACAUCAUCCAUUCCUUUAGCAAAGAAAGAAACAAUUCCACGUUGGGAAGUUUAAAGUUGUCUAAGAAUUAUAGAAAU
Schizosaccharomyces pombe (fission yeast) is the source of this 293-nucleotide non-coding RNA. The record is from the annotation of a GenBank genome assembly. NCBI's taxonomy places the organism in Eukaryota, Fungi, Ascomycota, Schizosaccharomycetes, Schizosaccharomycetales, Schizosaccharomycetaceae.